This 497-nucleotide ribosomal RNA is filed under the name uncultured bacterium. Its description in RNAcentral is "partial 16S ribosomal RNA". It matches the Rfam family "Bacterial small subunit ribosomal RNA", at positions 28 to 507 of the family's 1533-position model. The record is from RNAcentral.
GAUGAACGCUGGCGGCGUGCCUAAUACAUGCAAGUCGAGCGAACAGAUGAGGAGCUUGCUCCUCUGACGUUAGCGGCGGACGGGUGAGUAACACGUGGAUAACCUACCUAUAAGACUGGGAUAACUUCGGGAAACCGGAGCUAAUACCGGAUAAUAUAUUGAACCGCAUGGUUCAAUAGUGAAAGACGGUUUUGCUGUCACUUAUAGAUGGAUCCGCGCCGCAUUAGCUAGUUGGUAAGGUAACGGCUUACCAAGGCAACGAUGCGUAGCCGACCUGAGAGAGUGAUCGGCCACACUGGAACUGGGACACGGUCCAGACUCCUACGGGAGGCAGCAGUAGGGAAUCUUCCGCAAUGGGCGAAAGCCUGGCGGAGCAACGCCGCGUGAGUGAUGAAGGUCUUCGGAUCGUAAAACUCUGUUAUUAGGGAAGAACAAAUGUGUAAGUAACUAUGCACGUCUUGACGGUACCUAAUCAGAAAGCCACGGCUAACUACGUG